GAUAAACGCUGGCGGCGUGCUUCAGGCAUGCAAGUCGAACGGUCCACACCGGCUUGCCGGGGUGGAUAGUGGCGGACGGGUGAGUAACACGUAAGUAACCUGCCCAGAAGUGGGGAAUAACUGGCCGAAAGGCUAGCUAAUACCGCAUGUGAUGGCUCUUCUCUGGAGGAGUCAUGAAAGGCUUAGGCCGCUUCUGGAGGGGCUUGCGGCCGAUUAGCUUGUUGGNGGGGUAACGGCCUACCAAGGCGACGAUCGGUAGCUGGUCUGAGAGGACGGACAGCCACACGGGGACUGAGAUA
This 299-nucleotide ribosomal RNA is filed under the name uncultured bacterium. Its description in RNAcentral is "partial 16S ribosomal RNA". It matches the Rfam family "Bacterial small subunit ribosomal RNA", at positions 28 to 326 of the family's 1533-position model. The record is from RNAcentral.